This 511-nucleotide unclassified non-coding RNA is filed under the name Hevea brasiliensis (rubber tree). Lineage: Eukaryota; Viridiplantae; Streptophyta; Magnoliopsida; Malpighiales; Euphorbiaceae. The record is from RNAcentral.
AUUUUUUUUUUUUUUUUUUGGGUGCGUGACUUUUUAGAUAUUUGAAUUUUGGGGAAAUGUAAAUUAGGAGCCCCAAAAUAAAGGGCGAGAGCUGAACUGAAUGGCGAUGACGAUGAUGAUGAUAAUGACGACGACGAUGAAGAUUAAGGAAGAACACAAAAAAACUGUGUCUCUCUCUCAUCUGGGCCACGUCAGUUUGGGAUCCACGACGGCGUGGCUUUCCAACUGGAAUACCGAGAUUGUAGGAGAAUUGACAACGCUGAUAGCCCUUAUUUCUCUGAUGGAGACUGAUUCGCUAGAGGAAAAAGGCUUACAGCCCAGUACCUCGUGGCCCAAUAAAACUGCUAAAUACAUAAAUCAACCCAGCCCAAAUAGAGGGCUCAAGCCCAUCACAACAAAACCCUAACAGAAAAGAGCAAUGCCUAAACCCGUGACACGGAUGAGCCUAAGCAUCAAGCCGCACAUCCAGAAUAAACACACUUUUCACCGCCGCUCUUUUUUUUUUUUUUUU